AUACUUACCUGGACGGGGUCAAUGGGUAAUCAAGAAGUUCCAUGGCCUAGGUUGGUGACCUCCAUUGCACUAAGGAGGGGUGCUUGCCUAAGGUCGACCCAAGUGGUUGAGCCUACGUCAUAAUUUGUUGUUGCAGAGGGGGCCUGUGUUCGCGCAGCCCCUACC
Molecule: small nuclear RNA, 165 nt
Filed under: Solanum lycopersicum (tomato)
Lineage: Eukaryota; Viridiplantae; Streptophyta; Magnoliopsida; Solanales; Solanaceae
Description: U1 small nuclear RNA (U1.6)
Rfam family: U1 spliceosomal RNA
About the family: U1 is a small nuclear RNA (snRNA) component of the spliceosome (involved in pre-mRNA splicing).
Source: RNAcentral